CCUACGGGAGGCAGCAGUGAGGAAUAUUGGUCAAUGGACGAGAGUCUGAACCAGCCAAGUAGCGUGAAGGAUGACUGCCCUAUGGGUUGUAAACUUCUUUUAUAUGGGAAUAAAACGUUCAACGUGUGGGAGUGUGUAUGGACCAUAUGAAUAAGGAUCGGCUAACUCCGUGCCAGCAGCCGCGGUAAGACGGAGGAUCCGAGCGUUAUCCGGAUUUAUUGGGUGUAAAGGGAGCGUAGGUGGAUUGUGAAGUCGGUUGUGAACGUUUGCGGCUCAACCGUAAAAUUGCAGUUGAAACUGGCAGGCGUGAGUACAGUAGCGGUGGGCGGAAUUCGUGGUGUAGCGGUGAAAUGCUUAGAUAUCACGAAGAACUCCGAUUGCGAAGGCAGUUCACUGGACUGCAACUGACACUGAGGCUCGAAAGUGUGGGUAUCAAACAGGAUUAGAUACCCCAGUAGUC
This 460-nucleotide ribosomal RNA is filed under the name uncultured bacterium. Its description in RNAcentral is "partial 16S ribosomal RNA". It matches the Rfam family "Bacterial small subunit ribosomal RNA", at positions 338 to 795 of the family's 1533-position model. The record is from RNAcentral.